Molecule: ribosomal RNA, 1370 nt
Filed under: Cherax cairnsensis
Lineage: Eukaryota; Metazoa; Arthropoda; Malacostraca; Decapoda; Parastacidae
Description: l-rRNA
Rfam family: Archaeal large subunit ribosomal RNA (bases 641-1370)
Source: RNAcentral
UGUCGCAGGUAGACUUAUUUUGAUUAUUAAUAUGGUUUGCUAAAGGGUUUGUAGUUAGAAAAAUAUUUUAUGAUUAUAAGUAUAUAAAAGAAAUUAGUAUCGGGCGAUAGAGAAUAGUACUGUGAAGGAAGGUUGAAAUAAUUGUUGAAAUUAAGUUGGAAGUAUAAGUAAAAUUUAGCACCUUGUGUAUUAGGGAUAUUUUAUAUUAGGUAGUUAAUAAUUAUUAUUCCCGAGAUAAGGAGAGCUAAGUUAUUAGGUAAGUUUUUGUUGUAAAAAAAUUUAUAAUUUUAUCUUAGUAGUGAAAUGUUAAUCGAGCCUUAAGAUAUCUGGUUUUCUUUGAAAAAAAUUUAAUUUUUUCUUUAUGUUAAAGAUAUAGAUAAAGCAAGGGUGCAGAGGGGUUAAGCUCUUUGUGCAAAUAAAAGUUUAUUAUGAAGGUGGUUGAGAAUAUGAUAUUUAGCUAGGCUUAGAAAUAGCCAUGCUUUCAGAUGGUUAUACUUGAGAUAGAUACUGAAAAAUAUUUAUUUGUCUUUUAGAGUGGGUAGGAGAAAGUUAUUUAAAAUUGAAUUUUAUAGUUUAAAAUGAAUGUAUUAGUAUAUAUUAUACUGUUAGUAAUUUUUAUUGACGUAAAUGAUAAGUUUAUCAAGGUAGUGGCGAAAUGAAGGAACUCGGCAAAAGUUAUUUCCGCCUGUUUAUCAAAAACAUGUCUGUAUGAUAGGUGUAUAGAGUCUGGCCUGCCCACUGGGGGUUUAAAGGCCGCGGUAUUAUGACCGUGCGAAGGUAGCAUAAUCAUUAGUCUUUUAAUUGGGGGCUGGUAUGAAUGGUUGGACGAGAAAUUAGCUGUCUUAAGUUUUGAGAAUUGAAUUUAACUUUUAAGUGAAAGGGCUUAAAUGGGCCGGGGGGACGAUAAGACCCUAUAAAGUUUGUACACUAAACUAGUUUAGAGUGAUUUAGGUUUAUAAAGUUUACUAUUGGGGAGGUGUUUAGUUGGGGCGACUAGGAUAUAAGUUAUCUAACUGUUUCUUUGUUGUAAUCAGAAAUAUUUGAGUUUAUGAUCCUUUUUUAGGAUUAUAGAGUAAAUUACUUUAGGGAUAACAGCGUAAUUUUUUUUGAGAGUUCUUAUCGAUAAAAAAGUUUGCGACCUCGAUGUUGAAUUAAAAUUUCUUUGUAAUGCAGCAGUUACAUGAGAAGGUCUGUUCGACCUUUAAAAUUUUACAUGAUUUGAGUUCAGACCGGCGCGAGCCAGGUCGGUUUCUAUCUCUCGGGUUUUAUAUAAUUAUUUUAGUACGAAAGGAUUAAAUAAUUGGAAUAGUUUUAUAAAAAAAAAUUAAUAAAUUUUUAGUUUAUCUAAGUAGGACAUAAAUAUGGUCAGA